This 506-nucleotide ribosomal RNA is filed under the name uncultured bacterium. Its description in RNAcentral is "partial 16S ribosomal RNA". It matches the Rfam family "Bacterial small subunit ribosomal RNA", at positions 28 to 523 of the family's 1533-position model. The record is from RNAcentral.
GAUGAACGCUGGCUACAGGCUUAACACAUGCAAGUCGAGGGGUAACGAGAGGAAAGCUUGCUUUCCUUGUCGACGACCGGCGCACGGGUGAGUAACGCGUAUCCAACCUGCCCCCAACUAGGGAAUAACCUUGCGAAAGUAAGACUAAUACCCUAUAAUUUCCUCAGAUGUCAUCUGACGAGGAAUACAGAUUUAUCGUUUGGGGAUGGGGAUGCGUCUGAUUAGCUUGUUGGCGGGGUAACGGCCAACCAAGGCAACGAUCAGUAGGGGUUCUGAGAGGAAGGUCCCCCACAUUGGAACUGAGACACGGUCCAAACGCCUACGGGAGGCAGCAGUGAGGAAUAUUGGUCAAUGGGCGGAAGCCUGAACCAGCCAAGUAGCGUGCAGGAUGACGGCCCUAUGGGUUGUAAACUGCUUUUAUACAGGAAUAAAGUUAGCCACGUGUGGUUAUUUGUAGGUACUGUAUGAAUAAGGACCGGCUAAUUCCGUGCCAGCCGCCGCGGUAA